CCUUCGAUAGCUCAGUUGGUAGAGCGGUGGACUGUAGAAAAUGUGAAGGGUAGGUGAUUUGAUACAAAUGCACCAUAAAAUGCAUCAUCUGAUCACUUUCAAACGAUGAUAUAGAAAUCCAUAGGUCACUGGUUCAAAUCCGGUUCGAAGGA
Molecule: transfer RNA, 152 nt
Filed under: Anopheles christyi
Lineage: Eukaryota; Metazoa; Arthropoda; Insecta; Diptera; Culicidae
Description: tRNA tRNA-Tyr
Rfam family: tRNA
About the family: Transfer RNA (tRNA) molecules are approximately 80 nucleotides in length. Their secondary structure includes four short double-helical elements and three loops (D, anti-codon, and T loops).
Source: RNAcentral